UAAACAACAGGUUUGGUCCUGGCCUUUUUAUUAGUUGUUUGCAGAAUUAUACAUGCAAGAAUCCCCAUGCCGGUGAGGAUGCCCUCUAUACCACAUCUUAGGCUAAAAGGAGCGAGUAUCAAGCACACUACAAAGUAUCGCACAACACCCUGCUUUGCCACACCCCCACAGGAGACAGCAGAUAUAAAAUUAAGCAAUAAAUGAAAGUUUGACUGAGUCAUGCAUCCACCAGGGUUGAUAAAGUUCGUGCCAGCCACCGCGGUCAUAUGAUUAACCCGAAUUAAUAAAACCCGGCGUAGAAGGUGUUUUAGAAAUGCAAAAAAUAAAGACUAAGCUUUAUCUGAGUCGUAGAAAACUCCAGAUAAAGUACAAACCAAAAAUGAAAGUAAUCUUAAUAAGUCUGAAUGCACGAAGCUAAGGCCCAAACUUAUUAGAUACCCCACUAUGCUUAACUGUAAACAUAAAAACUUGUAUAACAAAAGUUUUCACCUGAGAACUACUAGCAAUAGCUUAAAACUCAAAGGACUUGGCAGUGCUUUACACCCACGUAGAGGAGCCUGUUCUAUAAUUGAUAAACCCAGAUACACCUCACCACCCCUUGCUAAUCCAGCCUAUAUACCGCCAUCUUCAGCAAACCCAAUUAUGGAAACAAAGUAAACACAAGUAUAUUGCAUAAAAACGUUAGGUCGAGGUGUAGCCAAUGGAGUGGGAAGAAAUGGGCUACAUUUUCUUACUGAAGAACAGCAGACACAAGUCUUUAUGAAACCUAAGGACCUAAGGAGGAACCAAGAAUAGAGAGCUUGGUUGAACUAGCAUGUACCACCGCCCAUCACCCCCCUCAAGUACCCAAAAAUUUUCAACCUAAAAACUAAUAAAUAUAAGAGGAGACAAGUCAUAACAUACUGGAAAGUGUGCUUGGAAAAAAAGUGUA
RNAcentral lists this non-coding RNA (931 nucleotides) under Cavia porcellus (domestic guinea pig). The record is from Rfam by way of RNAcentral. Lineage: Eukaryota; Metazoa; Chordata; Mammalia; Rodentia; Caviidae.